GGGUUCAUACGUUGGUCGGGCUAUUUGGUCUGUACUUAUGUAAUGGAUUCCUCCCUUCUGACGAACCAUGAUGUCAUUAAUUUGAUGUCGUGGAGAAUCAGGACUGUUACUUUGAAAAAAUUAGAGUGUUUAAAGCAGGCAUUAGCUUGAAUACAUUAGCAUGGAAUAAUGAAAUAGGACGUUUGAUCCUAUUUUGUUGGUUUCUAGGAUUGACGUA
Molecule: ribosomal RNA, 217 nt
Filed under: Campeiostachys nutans
Lineage: Eukaryota; Viridiplantae; Streptophyta; Magnoliopsida; Poales; Poaceae
Description: Elymus nutans partial small subunit ribosomal RNA
Rfam family: Eukaryotic small subunit ribosomal RNA (bases 47-217)
Source: RNAcentral